This is a microRNA precursor of Colobus angolensis palliatus, 63 nucleotides long. NCBI's taxonomy places the organism in Eukaryota, Metazoa, Chordata, Mammalia, Primates, Cercopithecidae. The record is from Ensembl.
AAAAGUACUUGCGGAUUUGCCAUUACCUUUACCUUUAAUGGCAAAACUGCAGUUAACUUUUGC